AACGCACAUUGCGCCCGCCAGUAUUCUGGCGGGCAUGCCUGUCCGAGCGUCAUUUCAACCCCUCAAGCCCAGCUUGGUGUUGGGGACCGACCCGCCCCCGGGCGCCGUCGGCCCUGAAAUGAAGUGGCGGUCCCGCCGUGGAACCUCUGCGUAGUAGCAACACCUCGCACUGGACAGCGGCGGCGGCCACGCCCAACCCCAUAUCUUUCAAGGUUGACCUCGGAUCAGGUAGGAAUACCCGCUGAACUUAA
RNAcentral lists this unclassified non-coding RNA (251 nucleotides) under uncultured Hypocreales. RNAcentral describes it as "sequence contains ITS2". The stretch from base 1 to 52 matches the Rfam family "5.8S ribosomal RNA", at positions 103 to 154 of the family's 154-position model. The record is from RNAcentral. Lineage: Eukaryota; Fungi; Ascomycota; Sordariomycetes; Hypocreales.